Molecule: ribosomal RNA, 237 nt
Filed under: uncultured bacterium
Lineage: Bacteria
Description: partial 16S ribosomal RNA
Rfam family: Bacterial small subunit ribosomal RNA
Source: RNAcentral
CGGCGGACGGGUGAGUAACGCGUGGGUAACCUGCCUCAUACAGGGGAUAACAGUUGGAAACGGCUGCUAAUACCGCAUAAGCGCACAGUACCGCAUGGUACCGUGUGAAAAACUCCGGUGGUAUGAGAUGGACCCGCGUCUGAUUAGGUAGUUGGUGGGGUAACGGCCUACCAAGCCGACGAUCAGUAGCCGACCUGAGAGGGUGACCGGCCACAUUGGGACUGAGACACGGUCCAA